GGCGGGUGGGACACGGCGGAGUAUCCGGCCUCCAUCUUCGGCACCGAGAAAGACAAAGUCAGCUGUUCAUUUUACUUCAAAACUGGAGCAUGUCGUCAUGGAGACAGGUGCUCUCGGUUGCACAAUAAACCGACGUUUAGCCAGACCAUUGGCCUCUUGAACAUUUCCCCUAACCCUCAAAACUCUUCCCAGUCGGCCGACGGUUUGCGCUGUGCCGUGAGCGAUGCUAAGAUGCAGGAACACUGUGAUGAAUUUUUUGAGGAGAUUUUUACAGAAAUGGAGGAGAAGUAUGGGGAAGCUGAGGAGACGAACGUCUGUGACAAGCUGGGAGGCCACCUGGUGGGGAGCGUGUACGGCAAGUUUCGCCGUGAGGCAGAUGCGGAAAAGGCUGUGACUGACUUGAACAACCGUUGGUUUAACGGACAGCCGAGCCACGCCGAGCCGUCACCUGAGACGGACUUCAGAGAAGCCUGCCGCCAUGGGAGAAUAUUCGCUCACGAGGCGGCUUCUGCGGCUUCAUGCAUUUGAAGCCCAUUUCCAGAGAGCUGCGGCGGGAGCUGUAUGGGCGGCGUCGCAAGAAGCAUAGAUCAAGAUCCCGAUCCCGGGAGCGUCGUUCUGGGUCUAGAGACCGUGGUCGUGGCGGUGGCGGUGGCGGUGGCGGUGGCCCAGGCGGCGGCGGCGGGAGCGUGACAGGAGGCGGUCGAGAGGUCGUGAAGGAUCUGGGCGAUUCUGA
Molecule: RNA transcript, 733 nt
Organism: Rhinopithecus roxellana (golden snub-nosed monkey)
Lineage: Eukaryota; Metazoa; Chordata; Mammalia; Primates; Cercopithecidae
Gene name: splicing factor U2AF 35 kDa subunit pseudogene
Exons: 1
Source: RefSeq, a predicted model, not a curated record